RNAcentral lists this ribosomal RNA (255 nucleotides) under uncultured bacterium. RNAcentral's name for it is "partial 16S ribosomal RNA". It matches the Rfam family "Bacterial small subunit ribosomal RNA", at positions 472 to 790 of the family's 1533-position model. The record is from RNAcentral.
ACUGUACCUAAGAAUAAGGUCCGGCUAACUCGUGCCAGCAGCCGCGGUAAUACGAAGGGACCUAGCGUAGUUCGGAAUUACUGGGCGUAAANAAUGGCCGGCCGCGUUUAGAGCCCCCGGGGUUAUUGGAAAGGUUCAGUUAACUUGUCGAAAUUCCCCAAAAAAGCCUUUAAAACCUUUUGAGAAACCUUGCAAAUUAAAGACUGCUCGAACUAGAGUUUUGAACAGAGGGAACACGCGCGAAUACAUACGUGU